Molecule: non-coding RNA, 57 nt
Submitted as: unclassified sequences
Source: Rfam
AUCGUUCAACUCAUUGUGAGUCGGAAGUAGGCAUUACUAGUGCUGAAGGAACGCAUG